Molecule: long non-coding RNA, 622 nt
Organism: Carya illinoinensis
Lineage: Eukaryota; Viridiplantae; Streptophyta; Magnoliopsida; Fagales; Juglandaceae
Exons: 2
Source: RefSeq, a predicted model, not a curated record
ACCUCGAUUUUUCCCUCUCUGAACUCAUUUUUCCUCCCUCGUUAAUUUUCCCCGUUUCGCCCUUAUUCCUUUCUUCCUUUCUACUAAGCCUUCUUACGUCUUGCCUUUUCUCUCCCGUCGUUGAAGUCCUUGUAAAAUCACUGGCUUUCAUAUCCCCUCGUGUUUGCAAAAUCACUCUCAUUGUUUCCUCUGUCUGAGUUUUAGACAGACCUUCGUAGCAGCACCUUCUGUUUCAUUGCAGCAGUACCAAUCGAAGCCCUUUGAUUUAAGGGGCAUCUUCCUUCAAGCACAUCCUCCUGUGAAUUUCGAAUCAAAGAAACUUCAUUUGAUGCGGAUCCAUUCUGAACCACCCUCUUGCAAAGUGGUGGACAAGGGGAAUAUAGCAUCUCGUUCAAUAGCAUACAUGAUAACAUUGUGGUUCAACCAUCACAAGCCGAAGGUGAACAAAGGCCACACACUAAAAGAUCUCAACGAGACGUGUCUUUUACCACAUAAGAGGACAAUUUCAUUGUUUUAGUUUGGCUAAAUAUUAGCAUUGAUGCUAUUCGAGGGACUGACAAAAAAUCCACACAAAUGUAAAAAGACAUUUAUGAAUAUUAUAAUGAGUAUAAAAAACCAAACA